GGGUUUGGUUGGCUGCUCAUUAAGACUUAACAGAUACACAGAUUGAUGCCACUGGAGUUGUUUACUAACCUGAAGAUCACAAUAAAUAAAACAGUUGGUGUCAAUACAACUCCCCUUAUUUUCUCUCAAGUCACCUGGAUCGUCCUGACCCCGGGAACCCCGUCUGCAGCACCAGGCCCCCUCCGUGGAGAAAAGAUGGAGCCGGAUUAAGCACCCAGUGCUAAGGCGACUAAGACGCCACUGCCCGCAGGCCCUGCCGGAAAAUACUCAGAGAGUGCAGCAGGCGCCGCGAUUCCUUAGAAAGUGCUGGCGUGGCCUCUCCUGACACAGAAAGCCGGCUCCUGGAUGCUUACAAAGGACUGGCCCGCGCAACACCGUUGCUCCUCAACCCGGGCCACACUCCAAGGACCUCUACUGAGCUUCAGCUUGCUCACCGAAAACGGCGCGGCCCCCUCUACCCGGGAUGUCGGAGCCCAGGAGACCCUGAGAGCCCCCAGCUCUUUCCGUAAUUGCAGGAGAAGGGGCAAGCGGGUCCGUAGCCGGGGGCCCUCCAGUGGCAUUAUCCUGAACCGCCACGCCCGCACGUGGCCCGGCUAGAGCUCCCUGGCGAAGGAUCACCUGUUCCUACAGUGACAACUGGACCUGGCCCGAACCCCUGGCAUCUGGCAACAUUAUUACCUGUCGAAACAGAAGUAGAGAUUUGAAAUAGAGGAUGCCUGUUCCCAUUUCCUCCUGCUGUCUGGAAGGAAGUCUGGCUUUCCAGCCCAACUCUAAGCUCAUCUUUACAUACAAAAUAAGGGUAUGUUUACAUGGAAAGCAAAAAUAGAACCAUGGAUUUACAGAAGGUUCCAUAGCAGCAAAUAACAGUGCUUAUGAAAUAAACAUUUUAAAUAUUA
Molecule: long non-coding RNA, 896 nt
Organism: Homo sapiens (human)
Lineage: Eukaryota; Metazoa; Chordata; Mammalia; Primates; Hominidae
Gene: GACAT2
Product: gastric cancer associated transcript 2
Source: Ensembl